GGAGGUUACUGCUAUCGGUGUUCGCCUAACCCAUGCGAGUCAUAUGUUCUUCGUGAACAUGGCGUACUGCUCAGUAACACGUGAAUAACCUGCCCUUGGGACCGGCAUAACCCCGGGAAACUGGGGAUAAUUCCGGAUACUGCAUAUAUGCUGGAAUGCUUUAUGCAUAAAAUGGAUUCGUCUGCCCAAGGAUGGGUCUGCGGCCUAUCAGGUAGUAGUGGGUGUAAUGUACCUACUACCCAACGACGGGUACGGGUUGUGAAAGCAAGAGCCCGGAAAUGGAUUCUGAAACAUGAAUCCAGGCCCUACGGGGCGCAGCAGGCGCAAAAACUUUACAAUGCGGAAAACCGUGAUAAGGGGACACCGAGUGCCAGCAUCAUAUGCUGGCUGUCCGGGUGUGUAAACUACACCUGUUAGCAAGGGCCGGGCAAAACCGGUGC
This 440-nucleotide ribosomal RNA is filed under the name uncultured archaeon. RNAcentral's name for it is "bacterial SSU rRNA". It matches the Rfam family "Archaeal small subunit ribosomal RNA", at positions 19 to 458 of the family's 1478-position model. The record is from RNAcentral.